UACGUAGGGGGCAAGCGUUGUCCGGAUUUAUUGGGCUUAAAGGGUGCGUAGGUGGCCCUGUUAGUCAGUGGUGAAAUAUCUCAGCUUAACUGAGAGAGUGCCAUUGAUACUGCAGGGCUUGAGUACAGAUGAGGUAGGCGGAAUUGACGGUGUAGCGGUGAAAUGCAUAGAUAUCGUCAAGAACACCGAUAGCGAAGGCAGCUUACCAAGCUGUAACUGACACUGAGGCACGAAAGUGUGGGGAUCAAACAGG
RNAcentral lists this ribosomal RNA (253 nucleotides) under uncultured bacterium. RNAcentral's name for it is "partial 16S ribosomal RNA". It matches the Rfam family "Bacterial small subunit ribosomal RNA", at positions 524 to 776 of the family's 1533-position model. The record is from RNAcentral.